Malus domestica (apple) is the source of this 589-nucleotide long non-coding RNA. RefSeq lists it as uncharacterized. The record is from RefSeq and is a predicted model, not a curated record. NCBI's taxonomy places the organism in Eukaryota, Viridiplantae, Streptophyta, Magnoliopsida, Rosales, Rosaceae.
AAUGUAAGUAGUUAUAUGGGAACGGAGCCAAACUUGUAUCUCGAGCUGAUCAUACAAUAUGGUUCACAAGGCCAACUUUGUUUACAUGAUUUCCAUCAUCCUAUUGCUAUUGUUCUCAUCCAAAUUAGUCUUUGCCAAUGUUUCUGAAAAACCAAAGCACAAUGUAGCAGAAAAGAUCAUCAGUAGGUCGCAUCUGCAUGUUGUGGCAAAGGAAGAGGAACCGGUGCACUAUAAGACCGUACCUUUUCCGGGGCAUGGAAAAAAAAAAUAGGGGUGCGCAUUAAACCGAUCGAACCAUAUCUUGUCUUGCAGGUUCUUACCUUUUAAGUUUUAUUUUAGAGGGGUUUGGUCCUAUGUUCGCCCCUCUCUUUUUAUUGUAUUUUAUUUUUUAAUAGGGGUAAAGUCUAUGUCUCCCCUUCUCUUUUUCUUGUAUUUUCUUGUUCAAGAGGGGUAAGGUGUAUAUCCCUCCCUCUUUUCUUGUAUUUUGUUAUUUUUGCUUUAUGAAGAAUAAGGUUUAUGUCCCUCCUUGAUUAGGUGUAACUUCUUUUUUUCAUCUCAAUAAAUUUCUCGUACCGUCGAGGUUUUUCAA